AAUAAUCUGGCCACAAAUAAUGGAAAUUUAUUAUUAUUAUUUUUUCUUUCUGCAAAUUAAAAUAAAGAAUGUUUUUGUUCAUUAGACCAGACUGUUUAAGAUGACGCAAUAACCAGAUCUACUUGUAUUUGAACUCAAAUUACAGCUUAUUCGAUUUUAUCCUCAAAUACUGCAUUGCUGUACCAGAAGAACAGCACAGUGAGCCAGUCAGCAUUACUAAAGGACACAGACAAGCAUUAGAAGAAGGAUCCUGGCAUCUAUCAUGCCACUACCCAAGCUAACACCUGGCUCUUAUAUGCACUGAUUAACAAUCACUCCAGCCCUCGUCAUCUGCACUACAGAUACUCACAACUGAGAUCCCACACCAUUAACAACUUACUAAUCAAGAUGUUUUCAAAACCCUAGAGAUGCAUAGCAUCUAUAAUGUAAGUAGUUUGCUCUUCUGGUUAAUUUGAGUCAAUUUCUGCGCUAAGCCUGGUUCAAAUAAACAUCUCUAGAAUUUUGAUGAUAUUAGUAUAGCGAUCUACACUUAUAUCUCAGGUUGCAUUUUUACUUUUAAAUCUUGUCAGUGAUGAGUUACAUGUAUAAUAGAAGACACAUGGACUGUGUUGAGCAGCCUGUUUUCCCCACAUUGCAUGUCUGGUGAGAUAGCACCCCCUUGUGGAGACUUUAUAUAGGAAGGAACUUGGAGGUGCAUCUGACAAGAUAAUAUCACAGUUCCAGAUUGGAUGCUGCCGGUGUGCCUCCUGUUGAACAGCCUGAAACUGUAUUCAUAUAUCUGAAACAAAAUGUAUAAACAAUAUAUAUCUUAAUCCACUAAAGGUAUGUAUGUAUGUAUAUCAUCUAUCUUGCUUGUUACUCUGAGUGCAAGAAGACUGGUAAGGAUCCUUGUCUCUGGGGUGGUACUUUCAGUUGUACACUAUUUGUCCCACUAGAAUGUAAGUUGCAACUUUAAAGAUUUAACUCUGUAUUUAUAUUUUGUGCUAAUUAUGGUGCCAAUAAUAAUUAUAAUAGUAUUAUUAGGAUAUUAAUAUCAGGAUUAUAAGAUGCAGGUUAAAUGUAAAUAUUUGUACAGCAACAUGGAAAGGUAUCAAAGAAGAUUAUUUGUUUUAUUUUUCUAAUUAUUUGCUUUCUUUCUUUUUCAUCUUUAUUUAAAAAAUCUUCUAAACACAGCUUUGCAAAGUAAAGUGUUCAUACUUACUUUUUAUCUCUUGUCUGCUUUCCGAAAGAAAUUUGACUAAGAAAAAAAAAAACAUGGACAUGAGUUAUUUUGAUUCUUGGACAUAUUAAUCAGGAGAGCAUUUUGCACAACAAUUGCAAUAUGGACAAUAGCCAAGUUACAUCUGUGUGGUGAUUAAUGAAAGGUAGAUGAAACCGUUUCAUCCCAAAACUCACAUUCUGUCCUUUGACUGGUUUGCUGUAGAAAUCCCUCUCUGAUUGCUGACUUCCUCUUCGGCGUUCUUUUGUAGUUGCAGCUGACCAGAGUGAAAAUAUGUAUUAGUCUGACAGUAAACGAUCCACUAAACCUACACACUUGUGUACUUGUGUGCUGAUGAACCGUUGUUGUACCACUCAUUAAAAUUUAUGCUCCUAAAACCACACCGCUAUUAAAAAAGAUUACAUUGACAUGCACUGACAAAUGGCACCUCAAAGAGUGUGCUUGAAAUUGUGUGAACUACUUUCUUCUUACUCAACCUCCUCACACUACAUAAAGAUUGUGGCCUUGUGUGUGUGAUCUUGUGCUUGUUAAACGCUCCUGCGAGAGACAGAUACCUUAUGAAGGAGGCUUGUUAUCAAGAGAUAAAAUAAUAACCAUAAUCUCCUAAGGAAAUGUUCUCAGGUCUCAGAUGUAAAGCAGUAGUGAGGCACUUACCUGGCGUGUGAUGAACGAUGUUGAUUUUAUCUGUUGGAUAAAGAAGAAACUAGUUAACUUGCCUACAUCAUGACUGUUCAUGGUCGGUCCACUCUUCAUUAUUAAAUGAACUCAAGCAACAAUUGUCUUUUGAUGCUUUUUUAAUCCUUAUCACUCAGCACCACUUCUGGGUGUUAAAAUAAAACCUUAAGGAAAUGUGUAUCUAGCGUAAUAAUGCUACUGUAUAUAACCUGAAUACUUCACAUGCUUUCUAACCACAUGUUUAGGAAUAUUCCAGCAUUACUAUUACCUCAGAAAGUUUCCUUGUACUGAAGAAGGAACAUAAAAAGUUUACACAAGACUGACUUACUGUAUGAAUAAGGUCAUGAAUUCAUACCCGCAGCAUUCACACUCUAACGACAAGGGUUUUACUACUAGACCUUCAUAUAAGACUGAAUAAAAAAGUUCAAAUUAAUCAUUUACGCCACAGGUACAGUACAGGUACCUGAAGUUUAAAACCCAGGAUUAUAUUUUUUAAUUCUACGUACUGACCGUAGACACUGUCAUCAUCCUCUCUGUUAUUCAUGAUGCUUGCACGCAACUGCCGAAGUUUUUCCUACAACACAAAGGAAUUUAUAUAGAGCUUUGUUAUAGUCACCAUAAUUUGGAGGUCAUCAGUUAGAGCACAGCUAGAUAGAUAGAUAGAUAGAUAGAUAGAUAGAUAGAUAGAUAGAUAGAUAGAUAGAUAGAUAGAUAGAUAGAUAGAUAGAUAGAUAGAUAGAUGAUAUUACAUAUAUUGUGCAAAUGUGUGCAUUAUGUCCAUUGUAUGUGCAAGAGUAACCCAGAAAUAUACAGUGUAUUUACAGAUAAUAUACAUAAACAGAUGUAAACUAGGGUAAGAAAUGAAUGUACAGUUCUAUACAAUUAGAAUAGGUAGAAAAGAUGUAACGGUAUGUUCAGGGUGGAGCAGAACUGCAAUGUGAUUACAGGUUACAGCAUUUUAUGAUAGUUGCUUGUGUUUGUGCAGUUACAGUGUACAGUGAUACUGAAUGUAGUGCUGGGCAUUAGGGUUUAUUUGAUAAAUUGAUUCAAUCGGUUUAUGCUCAUGUAGCUGCCUACUGUCUCUAUACUCUGUACUAACAAAAUCUCGUCUCUGGCAAACUGUUCAAGAGAUGGCUUGUGUCCAGACCUUUGCUUAUGGGAUCAGAUCAAUGGGAAAUUUCAAAUUUCAUUUAGUGAUGAAUGAAUCACAAGAAAGAAUGAGUGAGAAAGAAUAAUGUGAACUGUAUUGAAGUCUCAACCAAAAAAAACAAACAAUGUUUCAAAGAACGGACGUGUUGACUGUUGGCUGCAGAAGAAGUGAACAGUACAUAGUGAACAGAGUGGCAGGAAAAAUAACAGAAAUGGAUGAGUCUCUUUGCUUAACACAUUACAGUCAAGUACUAUGCUAUGGCACUGGUUCAGCAUGUGAAGUGUGUUCAUUUUGUCUUCUUUGUAAACCUUCCCUAGUUGCUUGAUUUACUGCUGAAAUGUGGAAUGUUUAUGUUGUAUAUUGUAUGGGCUCCUAAUAUGGCCAUAGCACUAGGGCUAUGUUUUACUGGUCCUGCACUACACUAUGAAUUCUGGUGAAUGUAAUGUUGAUCUGUUCUCACUUUCUGUUUAUUUUAUGUCUGCAGACACUCAAGGUCCCUACUGGAAGCAUCCCAUCUGGAUAUUAUCUGCUGACAAUAAUAUAAGUGAUACUGAUAUCAGUCUGGUCUGGUAAAGCCCAGUGAUUAGAAAAGAAGAAUGUACAAUAAUGCAGUACAGAUAUAUAAAUAUACUUCAUUAUAAACACUGAAAGGUCAGAGGGAUUUUAGUGUUGAUAGUUAAAUGGAGCUUAAAUGGAGAAAUUUUACUAAGUAAAUUAAUAAGUCACCAACUGCUUUUGGGCCCAUAUUUGGCCGUCAGUUAAGUGGAACUCGUUGUCGGUUUCAUUGUUUAUUAUAUACAACUGACACCUUUUAUUAACUAUUGUUGCUUAUGCUUUAAAGAUGGCGGCCUGGAAAAACUUCCUAAAAUAAUAUUCAUGAAGAGAACUGUAAGGCACAGUGGUUUAGAUGUUAAACCAAACAUCGGUUUCCUCCGCUAAUCAAAAGACAUAUAUUGUAGGCUGAUUGCCAUCUUUAAAUCUUUAAUCUGCAGUGAGAUGUGAGUAUGCUAUGGAUUGGCAUCCCACCCCCUGCCUUGUACCCCAAAUCUCCUGGGACUCCAGGUUCCCCUCAACCAUUUGUAAGAUAAGUGGAUCAAUUAUUCAUGCCUGGAUAGUUCAGGUUUUUCUGAACCGAAACAUGCUUCGUAGAAUUUAAUUUCAACUUUAACAUUUUCCCAGAUCACUGUAUAUAUUUACAAGCAUCUUAUAGUCCAUCUUUUUUUACUUUAUGAUACAAUGCAUUAAUAAUUGAUAAUGAAAUAAUUCGAUCAUAAUUCUUAUAUAAGUUGCACUUAUUAUCUAUCUAUCUAUCUAUCUAUCUAUCUAUCUAUCUAUCUAUCUAUCUAUCUAUCUAUCUAUCUAUCUAUCUAUCUAUCUAUCUAUCU
Molecule: long non-coding RNA, 4429 nt
Organism: Tachysurus fulvidraco (yellow catfish)
Lineage: Eukaryota; Metazoa; Chordata; Actinopteri; Siluriformes; Bagridae
Exons: 3
Source: RefSeq, a predicted model, not a curated record